Molecule: ribosomal RNA, 573 nt
Filed under: uncultured bacterium
Lineage: Bacteria
Description: partial 16S ribosomal RNA
Rfam family: Bacterial small subunit ribosomal RNA
Source: RNAcentral
UGGGGAAUAUUGCACAAUGGGCGCAAGCCUGAUGCAGCCAUGCCGCGUGUGUGAAGAAGGCCUUCGGGUUGUAAAGCACUUUCAGCGAGGAGGAAGGUGGUGAGCUUAAUACGCUCAUCAAUUGACGUUACUCGCAGAAGAAGCACCGGCUAACUCCGUGCCAGCAGCCGCGGUAAUACGGAGGGUGCAAGCGUUAAUCGGAAUUACUGGGCGUAAAGCGCACGCAGGCGGUUUGUUAAGUCAGAUGUGAAAUCCCCGGGCUCAACCUGGGAACUGCAUUUAAAACUGGCAAGCUAGAGUCUCGUAGAGGGGGGUAGAAUUCCAGGUGUAGCGGUGAAAUGCGUAGAGAUCUGGAGGAAUACCGGUGGCGAAGGCGGCCCCCCUGGACGAAGGCACUGACGCUCAGGUGCGAAAGCGUGGGGCAGCAAACAGGAUUAGAUACCCUGGUAGUCCACGCUGUAAACGAUGUCGAUUUUGGAGGUUGUGCCCCUUGAGGCGUGGCUUCCGGAGCUAACGCGUUAAAUCGACCGCCUGGGGAGUACGGCCGCAAGGUUAAAACUCAAAGGAAUUGAC